RNAcentral lists this long non-coding RNA (1737 nucleotides) under Homo sapiens (human). Its description in RNAcentral is "HSALNT0000969". Lineage: Eukaryota; Metazoa; Chordata; Mammalia; Primates; Hominidae. The record is from RNAcentral.
GAGACGAAGGCUUUAUCAUGCAGAUGAAGCCUCCAGGCAGCAGGCUUCAGAGAGAAUAGAUUGUAACUGUUUCCUAUCAGACUGAAAGAGGCUAUUCUAUCAGUAAUUCCAAAAUGAAGGAGGGUAUAAUGAGGUAUGCCCAGCUUCCCUUCCCAUCAUGGCCUGAACUAGUUUUUCAGGUUGACUCUGGAGUGCCCUUGGCCAAGAAGAGGGGUCCAUUCAGAUGGCUGCAGAGGGGCCUUAGAAUUUUAUUUUUGGUUUACACUGCAUGAGAGUGGCAACGAGAGACUGAAAAUAUGAAGGAAAUCCAAAAAAGAUGGAAGAGUGGAAGAGCCAGGGCAAAACGGUGUUCUUCAAAAAAGACAGUGCUCAACCUCAACAGGGUUGCAUUGGAUGAAAGCCUUGAGGAGACAAGUGUCCACUGGACUUAAGGCAAAGGAGGUCACUGACAGCUUCAGCAGGAGGUCUCUCUCCUAGCAAGAAGACAGUGUCUACAAGCCAGAAAGAGAGCUCUUACCAGAACCUGACCAUGCUGGCACACUGAUCUUGGACUUCCAACCUUGAGAAUUGCAGAAAGUCCUGGAAAUUGGCUACGUAGGAAGCAGCCCUCAGUUCCAGACUCCAUGUGAAUGAAGCCAGACAGUAAGAGCCCUCAAGUCUUCUCCAUCUGUUCCCCAGAGGCUGCUGAAAGGACCCAGGGAAGAGCUCAUGACUGUGGUUUCAUCCGUGUGGGGCCCACAGGCAUGUUCACAGAGGAUGCGGGUGCCUGGGGCCCAGGUGGGUAUCUCCAGAACAGCUUCCGAAACACUAAGUUCCAUAUCCUGACAUUGAAGGGACUGGCCAGGAACUGAUCCUUCAGCAAGAGGGAAUCCACAUGGCUGGCCCUAGCAAAUCUGUGUCCAAACCGUUUUGUUGAAAAAGAUACACCACUUGGGGUUGGAUGAAAAUGAUUUUCUAGGACCAUCAGAGCUUGAAGAUUUGUCAGUCACUGAGGAGGAUGCUCAUUUCCCACUGGACCACAGCGGGGCAGCUUGUGUGAAGGCAGGUGUAUUGGAGCUCAUCUGAACUGGGUACCACAUUCUAAUUCUUCUUGAUUAGCAUCAGGGCUUCAGACAGGUCACUUCACCAGCAUGUCCUUUAGCUUCCUUGGAUGUAAAAAUGCAUUUCGUGAUAAUGAACCCAGUAGUUCAUCUGUCUUUGCUAUUGCAGGAGGAGACGAUUCUAUUGAUAAGGGACACCUCGGGUGCUCACUUCCACUCUUGCAAAAUGGCCCCAGUAGACCUCACUCUCAUUUCCAAAGAAGAAGAGCAGGCUGAUUCACUGCAUAGGUUCAAAGGGGGUUGGUGACAUUAACCAGUAUUUGAUUGAUUAGUGAAAGAUGAGGGCUGUUAGCAGGACAGCACUCUUCCCUGAGUCUGUGUUGGCCUGGGUGUCUACAGAAUAUUCAGCAUUUAGGCUUAAUCCGUAGGUGUGGUAGUGUGGUUGCAAGGGGCUCCAGAUAGACUCCUAAAGCUAUGAGAAUUUUUGCUCCUCUGGGACCCACAGAGACACUUCCACAGAGGCCAGAGGCUCCACUCAACAUCCAUCCCCUAGGUCUGAGGGACACAUGGUUACAGGAUACCUCACGCCCCAGACAAAUCUGUGUUUCCUCUCCAAAAUAAUAAAGAGGGUUGGAACGAGUUUCACUGAAGACUGAAAGUCUAUUUCUCCUUCCCUUCUAGCCAGGGAGGUUAGGAG